This 268-nucleotide ribosomal RNA is filed under the name uncultured archaeon. RNAcentral describes it as "partial 16S ribosomal RNA". It matches the Rfam family "Archaeal small subunit ribosomal RNA", at positions 717 to 982 of the family's 1478-position model. The record is from RNAcentral.
ACACGACUACAUUAGACUACCCGCGUAGUCCUAGCCGUAAACGAUACUCGCUAGGUGUCGGCCACGGUGCGACCGUUGUCGGUGCCGUAGGGAAGCCGUGAAGCGAGCCACCUGGGAAGUACGGCCGCAAGGCUAGAAAACUUAAAGGAAUUGGCGGGGGAGCACCACAACGGGUGGAGCUUGCGGUUUAAUUGGAUUCAACGCCGGAAAUCUUACCGGGACCGACAGCAACAUGAAGGCCAGGCUGAAGACUUUGCCGGAUUAGCUG